AACGAACGCUGGCGGCAGGCUUAACACAUGCAAGUCGAACGCUCCGCAAGGAGAGUGGCAGACGGGUGAGUAACACGUGGGAACGUACCCUUUACUACGGAACAACUCCGGGAAACUGGAGCUAAUACCGUAUGUGCCCUUUGGGGGAAAGAUUUAUCGGUAAAGGAUCGGCCCGCGUUGGAUUAGCUAGUUGGUGGGGUAAAGGCCUACCAAGGCGACGAUCCAUAGCUGGUCUGAGAGGAUGAUCAGCCACAUUGGGACUGAGACACGGCCCAAGCUCCUACGGGAGGCAGCAGUGGGGAAUAUUGGACAAUGGGCGCAAGCCUGAUCCAGCCAUGCCGCGUGUGUGAUGAAGGCCUUAGGGUUGUAAAGCACUUUCACCGGAGAAGAUAAUGACGGUAUCCGGAGAAGAAGCCCCGGCUAACUUCGUGCCAGCAGCCGCCGUAA
This 447-nucleotide ribosomal RNA is filed under the name uncultured bacterium. Its description in RNAcentral is "partial 16S ribosomal RNA". It matches the Rfam family "Bacterial small subunit ribosomal RNA", at positions 29 to 523 of the family's 1533-position model. The record is from RNAcentral.